This 558-nucleotide long non-coding RNA is filed under the name Olea europaea subsp. europaea. Lineage: Eukaryota; Viridiplantae; Streptophyta; Magnoliopsida; Lamiales; Oleaceae. The record is from RNAcentral.
CCAAGACUAGCCUUGGGUAUAUGUUGUCUGAUUGUCUCACUCUUUUUGACCUAACAAAUCCAUUUGAGUAAUUGAAAAGUGAAAACCUACAAGCUGCCAAGUCCAACUUCCUUGUUGAACUGCCCAUCUCCAACCAAGACCACCGAUGGUAUUAGAUUGAAGUAAAUGGGGAUAAUGCUGUUGGACUUUACAAGCACUUUAAGCUGGGAAAGUGGGGAAUUUUUUAUUCUUAGAAACAUCUCUUCCUGCGGAUUCAUGUCGGUAUUUAAUUCUAACAAGUCUCAAAUUCUGGUUUUGUUGAUUAUUUGACUCGGAUUUGAAUCGAUUAUGGUUCUCAUUUUUGUUUGAUUAUUUAAUUUUAUUUGGAGAUUUUUGUGUUUUUGAUGUUUUGAUCGAUCACUUUGCUGUAAGGGUUUGUAUCGUUGAAUUUUCGUUAAAUUGAGACAAUAUUAAGAAAUAUAUUAUAGAAAAAAAUUGAUUUGAUUUGCUGUUGUAUGAUUUAAUAUUGACGUGCUAUGAUUGUUUGUUUACCGGAGAUAUUCAAGCGAAUAAAUAAAA